Triticum dicoccoides is the source of this 562-nucleotide long non-coding RNA. RefSeq lists it as uncharacterized. The transcript has 2 exons. Lineage: Eukaryota; Viridiplantae; Streptophyta; Magnoliopsida; Poales; Poaceae. The record is from RefSeq and is a predicted model, not a curated record.
CAAUCCUCCGGCGGUGGCGGCGGCACCAGCCAACAACGUGGCCAAUCCUCAGGCGGUGGCAGCUGCGGCAGUGUGGAUCAACGUGGCCAACCCCCCGGCGGCACCAGAUGUGGGAGCUCUGCUGCUGAUAGUUGGGCUCGUCUUGUUGGCGAUGGUGUUGCUGCUUAGGCUGGUGCUGGCGUGACUCUGAGUAGUACGACCUCAUCGUGUGCGCGGCUAAGGAGUACCACUACUACUUAUUACGUAUAAAACUAUAAAUUAUAACCUGCAUAUAUAUAGAGAGUUUGUUGUUCGUACCAUCUAUGAACUUCAUUGCGAACCAAGUUUCUCUGGGCCUGGAACAGCAUUCGACAUGCUUUUCCUCGUCUGAAUGAUCGACUAAAUAAAGCGGCAAGUUUGUAACCCCUGCUUCUACUUCAGGCUUGGAGAAUAACUCAGCAUGGUUUUACAGUUUGGAUUGUCGACAAGAUAAACCGACUUGUACUCAUGUGCGCAUGAAUUGUUUCUGAAGCAAAUCUACAGCUUGGUACUAUAUAUCAACUAUGACCUAUAUUGCAUUUUA